GCCUGGGUGGCUCAGUUGGUUGAGCGUCUGACUUUGGCUCAAGGUCACAAUCUCAUGGUCCGUGAGUUCAAGCCCCACAUCGGGCU
RNAcentral lists this transfer RNA (86 nucleotides) under Felis catus (domestic cat). It matches the Rfam family "tRNA". From Rfam's summary of the family: Transfer RNA (tRNA) molecules are approximately 80 nucleotides in length. Their secondary structure includes four short double-helical elements and three loops (D, anti-codon, and T loops). Further hydrogen bonds mediate the characteristic L-shaped molecular structure. tRNAs have two regions of fundamental functional importance: the anti-codon, which is responsible for specific mRNA codon recognition, and the 3' end, to which the tRNAs corresponding amino acid is attached (by aminoacyl-tRNA synthetases). tRNAs cope with the degeneracy of the genetic code in two manners: having more than one tRNA (with a specific anti-codon) for a particular amino acid; and 'wobble' base-pairing, i.e. permitting non-standard base-pairing at the 3rd anti-codon position. The record is from Rfam by way of RNAcentral. Lineage: Eukaryota; Metazoa; Chordata; Mammalia; Carnivora; Felidae.